This 397-nucleotide ribosomal RNA is filed under the name uncultured bacterium. RNAcentral's name for it is "partial 16S ribosomal RNA". It matches the Rfam family "Bacterial small subunit ribosomal RNA", at positions 523 to 918 of the family's 1533-position model. The record is from RNAcentral.
AUACGUAGGGGGCGAGCGUUGUCCGGAAUGAUUGGGCGUAAAGGGCGCGUAGGCGGCCCGGUAAGUCUGGAGUGAAAGUCCUGUUUUUAAGAUGGGAAUUGCUUUGGAUACUGUCGGGCUUGAGUGCAGGAGAGGUAAGUGGAAUUCCCAGUGUAGCGGUGAAAUGCGUAGAGAUUGGGAGGAACACCAGUGGCGAAGGCGACUUACUGGACUGUAACUGACGCUGAGGCGCGAAAGUGUGGGGAGCAAACAGGAUUAGAUACCCUGGUAGUCCACACUGUAUACGAUGAAUGCUAGGUGUAGGGGGUAUCGACCCCUUCUGUGCCGCAGUCAACACAAUAAGCAUUCCGCCUGGGGAGUACGGCCGCAAGGUUGAAACUCAAAUGAAUUGACGGGG